UCUGUCCUAGUUUAUAAGAAUUUUGUGUUGUGGUCAUAAAGGAGAGUGGCUUUGCUUCUCGGAUGGA
Molecule: transfer RNA, 67 nt
Filed under: Pholas orientalis
Lineage: Eukaryota; Metazoa; Mollusca; Bivalvia; Myida; Pholadidae
Description: tRNA-His
Source: RNAcentral